This is a long non-coding RNA of Centropristis striata (black sea bass), 290 nucleotides long. RefSeq lists it as uncharacterized. The record is from RefSeq and is a predicted model, not a curated record. The transcript is spliced from 3 exons. Lineage: Eukaryota; Metazoa; Chordata; Actinopteri; Perciformes; Serranidae.
AGGCAGGUAGCCUUUUAGCAACCAAUUAGCGUGCAUGUUCCGCCUAUGGUGAAGGAAGCAAGUCUGUACGUAGUGCUUUUUACUUCCUUUUGACCCCGGCCGCGACAGCGAGAAGGCAGCAAUCCGCUAAACAAGAGCGUUUAGCACUGUGCUCAAGUGGUUACACAGACGAACCGUCUGUCAUCUUGUGAGAGCUGAGAGUCCCCGACGGCGCUCAGCACUGGAACGAAGCGCAUCGGUCAGGUCUUUUGGAGACCCCUAGUCUUCAUAUCCAGUCUUUUGGAGAGGAU